Molecule: long non-coding RNA, 3624 nt
Organism: Oncorhynchus tshawytscha (Chinook salmon)
Lineage: Eukaryota; Metazoa; Chordata; Actinopteri; Salmoniformes; Salmonidae
Source: Ensembl
CAUCAUUGAGCUUUGAUUAUUAAAUCAUAAUUUGUUUAAUAGGACAACGCACAGGUGAUGACAUCAUUGAGCCUUGAUUAUUAAAUCAUUGAGCGUUGAUUAUUAAAUCAUUGAGCUUUGAUUAUUAAAUCAUUGAGCUUUGAUUAUUAAAUCAUUGAGCUUUGAUUAUUAAAACAUUGAGCUUUGAUUAUUAAAUCAUUGAGCGUUGAUUAUUAAAUCAUUGAGCUUUGAUUAUAAAAUCAUUGAGCUUUAGACCGAGUUUGGGAAACCCUGAAAUAGACUAGAUCAACGUAUCAAACUGCUGACACAAGACAAUACUUUUUUCUAAGUGUGGGCUGGAGGCUUAACUUGACUAAGGCUGUCAGGGUCUGGACAGACCAGAAUUAUUCUUUGUCAGAAUGUAAUGUGGCCACAGUGAACGAGGUACAUGUGUAGCGUCUCUCGGCUGGUAUUCUUUGUAAAAGUAAAUUGGUAUUUUACUUACAGGAGGAACACUUGUUUAAACAAUCUAAGGUGCUAAAAAUAACACAAUUAAACAGUGAUGUAUAGAUUAUAGUGAAACAUAUGUAGAAUUAUGGAUCAGCACAGCCAAGUCAAUGAGCAAAAGUGGGGGAUCUAUAAACCUGUAAAUGUUCCAAGAUGCACCAGAGGACCGUGUUUGAAAGAUUAUGAAAUGAAAUGUGAGUGGUGGGAACAGAAACAUUUAUACCAGUUGAUUUGAUCUGUGUCCAUGAUAUAUACUAUACAAUAGUCUGCUGGUCUCUGCACUUCUGCUGGAAUAUAUUAUAUUCAUAUCAAAACAACCAGGUGGCAUUCAAGUGUUGACGUUCAUUAUUCAAACAAGGUGCCAUUGGACAAUUAUGUUUUGUUGUUUAACUUGCUGAAUUUCGUCUCAGACCCUGUUAUCUGUUCUGUUUUUAAUUAUUAUAUACUGCUGGGUUUAUUUCUCUGUAUGGUUGUGUUUAUUUCACAGAGACUUGAUAUGUAAACCUAUUUUCAGAGUGUUUAUGUAGAAAGUGCCUAAUCAUAUCCCGAUUGAUCGCACAAAGCCAAUGUCAGGAAGCAUGCGAUGUACUGUACCUACGGAGAAAAACAUGGCUUUGGAGAGAAAAAGAUCACCUGAAUCCAUCAUUCUUUAGGACUACUGUAUAUUCAAGUAUCAUACCAUAUAUCAAUCCAAAAACCAUCACUAAAUUCAGUCCGGUGACAGUCUUCCCUUAACCAACUCAGUAUCCCCACGCAAUGCGUUCCAUCUUGUCAACAUUCUAAGCCUUUUCAUGUUCUAUUGGAACUGCCUGUUGAAACCAUGAGAAUUCCAUUCCAUAACUUUUGUGGUUUUAUUGCCUUGCAUUCAUCAUUCAGAUAGUGGUAAGAAUGCCAGCUAAUGCACUGCUGUGGCAAUACGGGAAGGUUUUAUUAUGCUUGCAUGGGUAAAAUAGUUAACUGGGUGACUGAACUGCACCCAAAGCAUGCUUAUUUUUCUAAAAUCGGUAGUCAGAUAGACUUGUAAAAGACUUACUGUUCUGUAAAGCGAAGAACGUUUGUAUGACGUGUCACAGAACUCUGAAAGAUGGAGGGCAGUUGAUUGGAAGGCAGAGAAGAAUCCUAAAAAUACAAACUAUGAUCAAUCUGCAGUAUUUACUGACCAUGUUUGUUGGGGUAGCAUGAGGGCAAGUUUUUCUAGAAGCAAGUUUUUUAAAAUUAAUUUAUUAAUUUUUAUUAAUUUGGAUCUAAAAAUAGUGUGCUCCCAAACCAACAGUAUACCGCAAGUAUUUUACGAGGCAACAACACACAGACACACACACACACACACACGCAGGCGACAGUACAUUGCACUGCACACAUCCAGAUAUGUCAGGGCAUAGUCAGUCUCACUUGUACACAGUUCAGCAGAGAGAGCUCAUCAUGUGUUAUUUUCCUAGCCUGCUCCUAGUCCUAGAGAACCGCUCACCUCCCUUCUGUAUUUUACUCAGGGUGCCAAAAUGGGGAGGAGGAAGUGGAGCAGGACGUUGAUGGUGAUUCAGUGUAGAGAGAGGACACACUAUUGAAAUAGGAUACAGAGCUUUCUGGAUAAAACAGGCAAAUUACUACUGAUCCUGGAUGCAUUAUUGGUAUCCAUUUCCUCUCAAGUAAGUAAGGUGAGCUGAGGAGAGACGUAAUGGCACGAUAACAGAACUAGGGGAUACAAGUCAUUCUAGUAUAGAUAAUUAUAAUUAGGACAAGCUCAUCACAAUUGACCGUAUGGUCAAUUGUUUCUGUCUUGGCUACAGCUCUGACAAAUUAAUUUGUAGGCAUUAUGGAACACUAGGGCUUAAAGUCUUACGUAAAUGCUUACCUUUCUUUUGUAGACUAUGCUUAUGAGUCUAGUAACACUUUAACCUUUGACCUCCUCUGGCUUGAUGGUUCUCAUUAAAACAAGGACUUGCUGUGUGUAUCUAUGGUUAUGUCAUAACAUCACACACAGCUUCAAAUAGUCUAUAAAGCUAUUCUCAGUUAUACAACAUUUAAUCUCAGUUAAGAUAUGGAUGAUGACAUGAUGUAACAUCUGAAUGAGGUCUUCCUGAGACGUACGUUGGGGUAGUUGAAGAUGAGGUCUUCCUGAGACAUACGUUGGGGUAGUUGAAGAUGAGGUCUUCCUGAGACAUACGUUGGGGUAGUUGAAGAUGAAGUCUUCCUGAGACAUACGUUGGGGUAGUUGAAGAUGAGGUCUUCCUGAGACAUACGUUGGGGUAGUUGAAGAUGAGGUCUUCCUGAGACGUACGUUGGGGUAGUUGAAGAUGACCAGAUCUUUUGGGACGGUUUUAAAAAAAGGCCUUCAGGUAUGGCCAUCUUCUGGAUGGUAUGACAGGUUAGCUAUAACAGGCACUUCAUAUGGAUUUUAUUACCUUCAUUACACUCUACUAAUUGACCUGAGGGACUGGACGGUAUCUCCUCCUCUUCCUUUGUCAAUGCACUCAAACUACUGAAAGGUAGGCACAUCAAGACAACAGAGCAGAAACCAUCUCACAACCUUUUCCACUUGUGGACACAGAGCAAUAAGCAUUCUUUUGUGGAGACCUAUAGACCUAGUGAAGAUAAAAAUGAUUGGACACAUGUAGUCGACGUACUCUUAUGCAAAUGCCAGUAUUGCAAGACAAGCAUUCAGUAGUUUAUGGACAGCAAUUGUAUGGCACCCUUUACCGAACUGCACGUUUUCAUCAAUUCCAAACCAAGAAGAAAAAAAUGGCCCUGCUUAAAUACAAAGUCGUGGGUCCUUGACACUUUGCAUGUGAACUAGUGUUAGAGCUAUUUUCCUCUCCUCUAUAACUGUCUUCCUCUCGGUCUUUCCCUGUUAUGUGACCCUCUCUUUCUUUCCUUCCCCUAUUAUUUCACCCACUCCUUAUUUUCGUUUCCCCUAUUGUGUUUUGCUUUCUCUCCUUUUUCUUCCCCCUCUUCCUUGUUUGUAAGUUUUAUUUUUGUAAUUGUGCAUGUACAAGCGUCACUGACUCGAUGGAUAUGUUUAAAAAAAAGCUGCUGAAGCCAUGCAAAACGUUUUGAAAUGCCCUUAAAAUAUGGAAGAUGUUUUCUGAAUGCUUUAUAUUCUUUCUGCUGUAAAAUAAUUAAAAAAAAUAAAAAAUGAAGAAA